RNAcentral lists this ribosomal RNA (506 nucleotides) under uncultured bacterium. RNAcentral describes it as "bacterial SSU rRNA". It matches the Rfam family "Bacterial small subunit ribosomal RNA", at positions 15 to 508 of the family's 1533-position model. The record is from RNAcentral.
GAUCCUGGCUCAGGAUGAACGCUAGCUACAGGCUUAACACAUGCAAGUCGAGGGGAAACGAUAGAGAAGCUUGCUUUUUUCUAGGCGUCGACCGGCGCACGGGUGAGUAACGCGUAUCCAACCUGCCCAUCACUUGGGGAUAACCUUGCGAAAGUAAGACUAAUACCCAAUGACGUCUCUAGAAGACAUCUGAAGGAGAUUAAAGAUUUAUCGGUGAUGGAUGGGGAUGCGUCUGAUUAGCUUGUUGGCGGGGUAACGGCCCACCAAGGCGACGAUCAGUAGGGGUUCUGAGAGGAAGGCCCCCCACAUUGGAACUGAGACACGGUCCAAACUCCUACGGGAGGCAGCAGUGAGGAAUAUUGGUCAAUGGACGAGAGUCUGAACCAGCCAAGUAGCGUGCAGGAUGACGGCCCUAUGGGUUGUAAACUGCUUUUAUAAGGGAAUAAAGUGAGUCUCGUGAGACUUUUUGCAUGUACCUUAUGAAUAAGGACCGGCUAAUUCCGUGC